Molecule: ribosomal RNA, 253 nt
Filed under: uncultured bacterium
Lineage: Bacteria
Description: partial 16S ribosomal RNA
Rfam family: Bacterial small subunit ribosomal RNA
Source: RNAcentral
UACGGAGGGGGCGAGCGUUGUUCGGAAUUACUGGGCGUAAAGGGCGCGUAGGCGGCCAACUAAGUCAGACGUGAAAUCCCUCGGCUCAACCGGGGAACUGCGUCUGAUACUGGAUGGCUUGAAUUCGGGAGAGGGAUGCGGAAUUCCAGGUGUAGCGGUGAAAUGCGUAGAUAUCUGGAGGAACACCGGUGGCGAAGGCGGCAUCCUGGACCGAGAUUGACGCUGAUGCGCGAAAGCCAGGGGAGCAAACGGG